AAAUGGUUCUGCGUGGAGGGUGGCACAGACAUUAGGUAAAGGUGUACUAGAGCAUAUCAUUUCAACACAGACACCUGAAAACAUUGGAUGCCUUAAUUCAUCGUUACUUGUUUUAAAAUGUGCUAACUUAAUGAUGGCAGGGAUAAUAGGAAAUCAAGGAGAGAGUAAAGUUGAAUAGAACCAAAAAUGUGCUAAGAGUCUGCGAAAAGCCUUCAUGUGUAAGCAUGGAUAGUAAAGAAGAAGUCAUAUUCCUUAAACACCUUGAAAAUCAUGCACCUGGUCCAUCAUCAGGGGAAAUGUUCACUUUUGCAGAAGUUUGUCCCUCAUGGUAGGAAACAGAUGGUGGACACUCAGAGGCAUGAUCUAAUGGUCUCCCAGGUUUGAGCAUGGACAUCCAUCACCAGUCUGGUUGGGAAGGCACUGCCGAGUGUGAAUGCUGGCUUGCAUGGCCCCACCAGGCCAGGGAAGAAGGACAGGCAGCUGGUGACUCCUCCAGAGCUGGCUACUUGUAUUCCUGUAUGUCCACGAUGGCCCAGGCCCAAGAGUUUUCCAAACUGAAGAGAUUCCUUGGAUUAACAUCCCUCAAGUAAUCUUUCUGCAUCUUAAAUUCGAGUCUUCAUCAGCCAAGUGUCUUCCAAUAUUUUCUCUUAGUAUGUAACUCACCUUUUCCCUCCCUUGACAGAGCCUUUCCUCGGUGAGAAAUGGACUCUGAUGGGUAGUUUCUUACUCUUUCUUUUUUACUUUUAGUAAAAGGUAUAUUUUAUAGAUUUAAAUUCCUUAAGAUUAAAAAUUAAAUGAUUAAAAUAUUCUAUUUUGUGUUGUCUUCUGGUAGUUUUGUUGUUUGGGGGUUUUACAUGUAGUUCUAAGAUCCAUUUGAGUUAAUUUUUGUGGAAUGGAUAAGGUCUCUUGUCUAAGAUUAGUUUUGUGUGUGCAUGCACAUGCACGUGUGUGUGUGUGUGUGUGUGUGUGUGUGUGUAUCUGGAUGUUGAAAAAGAUAGCCUUUCUCUCACUGAGUCACCUGUGUUUCUUUGGCAAAAAUGCAUUGAUGCCAUCUGUAGAGUUUUACCCUACCUGUCCUGUUCUGCUGAUCAGCCAGUCUUCUAACGAUCCAUCCUGUCUUCUUUACUGUAGCUUCAUGGAAGUGUUAAAGUUGUCCAAAUUGAGUACUGUCAUUUCUCUGGUUUUUCUUUUUUCUGUCUACAUCUUAUUGAUCACUGAGAUCUUCUAACUUUUAUGUAAACUUUCUAAUCAAUGUGUCAAUAAUCUCUAGAUUCUGGUUGUGAAUGCAUUAAAUCUGUAGAUAAACUUGGGAAAAACUGUUAUCUUGUCAAUACCAAGUCUCUAAUACAUGAACAUGGUGUUGCUUUUUGCUUGUUCACAUAAUUUUUUAAAGUUAUCAGUUUCUCCAUAUAUACAUUUAGAUUUAAAACUAAAGUAUUGGUGUUUUGGUGCUAAUGUGAAGUUGUAUUCUUAAUGAUAGAAUUCAAUUAUUAUUGCUGGUAUACCUGUAAAAAUUGACUUCUCUGUAUUGACCUUGUGCUUCUUUAUAAUUUCAUAACAAUAUUUGGUAUGUAUUUUGUAGGGGGAUUUAUUAAUUCUCUAAUUGGUUCUAGAUUAUAUCAGUAAAGGAGGCAAAAACCUAUUGCCGGGCAAAGAAAAAAAGAUGGGACUUCCAGUCCCAGGAAAAAAAGAAGGGGAUGAGAGGGAGGAGGCAGAGCAGGUGGCUGAGCAGAGGAAGCAGCAGACAUGUAGGUCGCAGGGCACCUAUAGUUUGUAGCCUCCACCAUGGACAGGCCCAGGAGGAUGGGCAGGCUAUUCUUCGCCCAGACAUUGAACUAUCUGGCUACUUUUAAAAUAUUAAGGCUCUCUGGUGUUUUCCAUCCAUGGUGACUAAGAUGGGCAGGACAAAGGGCACAGCAGGGGCUGUCAUUGGCUGCUUGGUGGAACUAGCUGUAAGAGGUUGAGGGAGCUCUGGUUGAGCUCUUAAGAAAGAGCAAGCAUGUUUUUAAAAUUACACACAACACAUUCAUUGUCCUUUGGAUGUAUCUGCAUAGAUAGUUGAUUCUUUUGAUGUUGUUUCUCUCUCUCUAUUAAGAGACCUUCAUAAUUGGUGCAUCUACUUUAUAUACUCAUUUAAUUCAUUAUACAUUUUCAUUGUCUUUUGGGGAAUGUAAUUUCAAUAGCAAAAUUGACAUUCUAAAAAUCCUGCCCUAUUUGUAAGCCAGGUGGUAAUAAUGGAUCAUUUACUGUUUUUGUCUUGCAUUUUUUUGUAGCGUUUUAUUGAAAACUGAUAUUUUACAUAAUAUGUCGCUAUUAUAAACUCACUCCUUGUAAGAAAACUUGUUGGAAUUAGUCUUCAGAAACUGUUUUUUUCCCUGUGCUAUAACUAAAAUCUGUGUUCAAUUUUUGUAUCUUCAGUUAUGCUUUCAAUCUGUCUUCCUAAGCGAUCACCCUCAUGAUUGCUUGAUUCAGUGGUUGACCAAUGGCUGGGUACAGCUACACUCAAAGACCUCAAGCCAUGGAAUAUCCAUUUCCGUGUGCCUAUUGUGAGCAUGGCACAACUCUUGCAUUCAUGCUCAGUUUUGAGUUUCCUCCCUCAGGUUUUGUGGUACAGAUGCACAGCUCUCUCUGAGUCUUUCCCUUUCCCUCUGAGCUUUCUCUACUGCACUUCUUGCUUGCCCAGUGCUUAUGUAACCAGGACCAUGCCUCAAGCUGCAGAAAGGCAUUCUUCACGACGACUUCUGUUUGCUUUUAUAGUCAAGACCCUUAGCGUGGCUUUUCCCUUCCAUUCCACAUCAAGUUGGCUGCUCCCGACAGUUAAACAGCACGUGGACACAGUCAGCUCCACUCUUGUGGGAAAACAGUGACCACCAUGCUGCUGUUCAUUGUGGGGCAAUGAGAUUAAUCCCAGGAGUGAAAGUCACAAACCCAUGACCAUACAGAUGGCCCCAUUAAAUAUGGUGGUUCACAAAAUAAAACAAAUAGAUGUGAAUUUGAGAACAAAUUGUGUAGGGAAGAGGAUUAUCAGGGGUGAAAGAGAUAUGGAAAAGAAUAGUAGACAAGAAUGGUAGACAAGAAUGGCCAAUGUCCAUCAUAUGCAUGUGGUGAAACUGUCAAUAGCAAAGUUAAUUAAUAAUAGUAAAAAUCGAUAAGAACAUCCUGGGAAGUUUAAACCUUUAUCUUGAAGAAUUAAGAAGGCAUAUUGGUUGUGUGUGUGUGUGUGUGUGUUGUUUUGUUUUUGUUUUUGCUUUUCCAUGCAAACAGGCAGAAGACAUUUUCUAGCAUACUUUACAAUGACAGAGCAACUUUAAUGCUAGGUCCUGGUCUGAAGAAUGGAGUGGAAGUUAUGUUGCUAUUUCUAGACUACAAACGUUCCUGACUGCCAUGCAAGCUCUUUUUUUCCAUAAAAACUGCAUAGGUUGCAUGAUAGAAAAAUAUUAUUUAAAGCACCUCCAAAAGAACCACCCCACCAUGGUUCAACUUUUAUAUCAGUAAUAAAUUUAUCUUUGUUUUUGUAAGUUACUGGCUCCUUCAGGUUGAUUAUUAUAGCAGUUAGAUGUAACUACUGACUAAUGACAAAGAGGCCAAAGCACAUUUGCUCUCUUAUAAAAACAGUUUGGAGGAUCUAGAAAAUUCUACUCUUACCUUAAAAUGUUUCCUUUUAUAUCACAUUUCAUAUUUUACUCUUCUGCCUUUAACAGUUCAGAAGUUGGGGCUGGAGAGAUGGCUCAGUGAUUAAGUAUACUGGCUGCCCUCCCAGAGGACCUACAUUUGGUCCUUAGUGCCCAUAUGGGGGCUCACAAUGUUUAAAAUUCCAGAAAAGCUGAUGCCCCUUUCUAGAUUCCACUGGUACUGUAUGCCAGUGAUGUUCAGACAUACUUGCAAAAAAAAAAAAAAAAA
Molecule: long non-coding RNA, 3900 nt
Organism: Mus musculus (house mouse)
Lineage: Eukaryota; Metazoa; Chordata; Mammalia; Rodentia; Muridae
Product: predicted gene 17171
Exons: 7
Source: RefSeq, a predicted model, not a curated record